Molecule: non-coding RNA, 28 nt
Filed under: Bombyx mori (domestic silkworm)
Lineage: Eukaryota; Metazoa; Arthropoda; Insecta; Lepidoptera; Bombycidae
Source: RNAcentral
UUCUGGCAGAGCACACAGCUCGGUGGUU